Molecule: long non-coding RNA, 372 nt
Organism: Rhinopithecus roxellana (golden snub-nosed monkey)
Lineage: Eukaryota; Metazoa; Chordata; Mammalia; Primates; Cercopithecidae
Exons: 3
Source: RefSeq, a predicted model, not a curated record
GCCUGACCCAGCCUUCUCUACAGUUGUCUACCUUGGCUGUAUCCUUGCUGCAUUAUUCAGGGCAUUCAGGCAGAAUAAGGCCAGAGAAGAAAGAAACUAGUGCGGAAGAAAAAGUCAUGGACUCCUUCUUUGCGGAAUCAAGGGAGAAAUCAUCUUCCCUGGUCAGCAUCUCUUGGAAUCUGUGCUUGGUCAGCGGAGUUGAAUGUGAACAUAGGAGUCAUCCUGUCACCAGAAGGACCAUCCAGGACCCUAUCCUGCAUUUACUUCAGGAAUCAAGAUCACUGUAUAUUCUGAAAGGUUCUGUGGCCUCCUUAAUGCCAAUGCCAUGUAAGAAGUGUCUUUCACCUCCCACCGUGAUUCUGAGGCCUCCCC